GAUGAAGAACGUAGCGAAAUGCGAUAAGUAAUGCGAAUUGCAGAAUCCGUGAAUCAUCGAAUCUUUGAACGCACAUUGCGCCCGUCAGUAUUCUGGCGGGCAUGCCUGUUCGAGCGUCAUUACGCCCCUCAAGUCCCCUGUGGACUUGGUGUUGGGGAUCGGCGAGGCUGGUUUUCCAGCACAGCCGUCCCUUAAAUUAAUUGGCGGUCUCGCCGUGGCCCUCCUCUGCGCAGUAGUAAAACACUCGCAACAGGAGCCCGGCGCGGUCCACUGCCGUAAAACCCCCCAACUUUUUAUAGUUGACCUCGAAUCAGGUAGGACUACCCGCUGAACUUAAGCAUAUCAAUAAGCGGAGGA
This 357-nucleotide unclassified non-coding RNA is filed under the name soil metagenome. RNAcentral's name for it is "partial contains 5.8S ribosomal RNA, internal transcribed spacer 2, and large subunit ribosomal RNA". The stretch from base 1 to 119 matches the Rfam family "5.8S ribosomal RNA", at positions 35 to 154 of the family's 154-position model. The record is from RNAcentral.